AUGCUGUUGCCGGUGAUGAUCCACGACGAGCGCUUGGUGGCCUUGGUGGACACAGGCUCCACCCAUAACUUCCUGCCCGAGGCUACCAUGCGGCGCUUAGCACUUCAACCGACGGGCGGGGAGCAAAUUCGGGUCCCGGUGGCCAACGGCGAUCGUCUCCGGUGUCAUGGACUCGCCCGGGGCGUCCCCAUCACCAUCGGCGACGAACACUUCUCUAUCACAUGUGCGGGCAUCGACUUGGGCUGCUUCGACUUCAUCCUUGGCGUCGACUUCCUUCGGACCCUUGGUCCCAUCCUUUGGGACUUCGAGGCUCUGACGAUGACCUUCUGGCGACUGGGCCGCCGCAUCCGGUGGGACGGCAUUGGGGGCGCCGCUCCGGCGACGCCGCAGCUCCAGCUGGCUGCGGCAACCUCUGAGGCCGAGCAUCCCCUACUGGAUCACCUCCUGCAGCAGCACAACGACCUCUUCGACGAGCCACAGGGCCUGCCACCGGCCCGGGUGUAUGAUCACCGUAUUCAUCUACUGCCGGGCUCCGCACCGGUGGCGGUUCGUCCUUACCACUAUCCGCAGCUGCAGAAGGACGAGUUGGAGCGGCAGUGUGCACUCAUGCUCACCGCGGGCAUCAUUCGGAUCUCCACGUCGCCCUUCACCGUGCCGGUCCUCCUCGUCCGCAAGUCGGACGACACGUGGCGCUUCUGCAUCGACUACCGCGCCCUUAAUGCGCUCACUCUCAAGGAUAAGUUUCCUAUUCCGGUGGUCGAUGAGCUACUGGACGAGCUCCAUGGGCGCACUUCUUCACCAAGCUCGAUCUCUGGUCGGGGUACCACCAGGUGCGCAUGCACCCGGACGACAUCGCCAAGAUGGCGUUCCGGACUCACCACGGCCACCUCGAGUUCUUGGUGA
Molecule: ribosomal RNA, 903 nt
Filed under: Triticum aestivum (bread wheat)
Lineage: Eukaryota; Viridiplantae; Streptophyta; Magnoliopsida; Poales; Poaceae
Description: partial small subunit ribosomal RNA
Source: RNAcentral